UUCAAUAUAGCUUAAAUAAAGCAUCGAUUUUGUAAACCGAAGAUAUAUAAAAAUAUUUUUGAAA
This 64-nucleotide transfer RNA is filed under the name Gyraulus laevis. RNAcentral describes it as "tRNA-Thr". It matches the Rfam family "tRNA". From Rfam's summary of the family: Transfer RNA (tRNA) molecules are approximately 80 nucleotides in length. Their secondary structure includes four short double-helical elements and three loops (D, anti-codon, and T loops). The record is from RNAcentral. Lineage: Eukaryota; Metazoa; Mollusca; Gastropoda; Planorbidae.